ACCCCACUCGCUUCCAUCUCCGCGGUCUCCCCGGUCUCCCCUCCCACCCCCUACCCCUCCUCCGCCAGCCGCGUCCUCCCGGGCUCGGUGAGGAACUGUUCCUGGAGGAGCCGCGGGACGCCGAAACCAGCCAAUGGGAAGAGGCGAGACGCGGAGAUUGGCACGGUGGAUGGGAAGGCCAAAGCGCAGCUUUUGCAAGGCUCCCUGCCCUGAAGGGGAAAGGCCCCCAGGCGGAGGGCAGUACCUGGGACCCUGUCUAAGGGUAUUAGAUGACCUGCAGGUAAAACUGACCUUUCCUAAUGCUUCUGAGCCCUUCCAGAGCACAGCUCUCCCUAGUAAUCUUUCCUUAGGUGCAGGAUUCAGAGAGGGAGCUUUAUUAGCAAGGCGUGGCAUGAAGGGGCAUGGGAAUUCAUGGAAUUCUGUUCCUUGUCUAUUUGGACUUGACUUGAUGUCCUGUUUGCAUGAGUAUUAUUUUGCUUUCUUUUAAUUUUUUUUUUUUUUUUAAACCGCAGACUUCAUUUUUUAAAACCUCUUCCAAAAGAACUGGUAGAGGGGAGAGGGGUCUCUUCCAUUUUGCUAGGGGCCAAGGAUGUUUCUACCUAUUGUUGUGAAAACAUACAGUUGUGAUGAGUUAAUGCCAAAUUGUACCCUAAUGCCUUAGGAAGCCCUUGCUGCCCUCCCCAACUGCCCUCAUCCAUCUCUCUCUCUCUUUCUCUGUUUUUUUGUUUUUUAGCCAAGAAAUUACUCAGUUUUUCUGUCCAAAGCAAAGAUAAGUUGAAGAAUAACAACACCUGUCUCUGUUAUUUGGUAUCGUUUGAGGCUAACACACACACACACACACACACACACACACACACUCACACUCACAGAAAAUACCUAGGGAUUUAGGAGACAUGGGUUCAGUUCCUGUUAGUCCCCAGUGUGUCUUCUGAAUCUUUAUUAAAUAUUUUGGCGUAUGAGUUAUGUUUUCCUCAAAUAUAAAAUAAUUUGUGACACCAAAAACCGUCAAGAAAUAUAAACAAAAUCCAUGCACAGAAUCCUUCCACCCUCAGAAACCCCACUGUGAACAUUUUGAUGCAUUUCCCUAGACUUUAGUUUUCUCUGUCGUUGUGCGUCCAUAAUUACUAAAUGUGGUCUGGUGACACCAGCUUUUCCACUUGCCUUUAUUUCAUGAUCAUUUACUUACAGAUCAGUAAACAUUUAUCAAAAG
RNAcentral lists this long non-coding RNA (1210 nucleotides) under Mustela putorius furo (domestic ferret). RNAcentral describes it as "lncRNA (ENSMPUG00000024868.1)". The record is from RNAcentral. Lineage: Eukaryota; Metazoa; Chordata; Mammalia; Carnivora; Mustelidae.